RNAcentral lists this transfer RNA (74 nucleotides) under Candidatus Woesebacteria bacterium CG_4_10_14_0_2_um_filter_39_14. RNAcentral's name for it is "tRNA-Glu". It matches the Rfam family "tRNA". Rfam says of the family: Transfer RNA (tRNA) molecules are approximately 80 nucleotides in length. Their secondary structure includes four short double-helical elements and three loops (D, anti-codon, and T loops). Lineage: Bacteria; Candidatus Woeseibacteriota. RNAcentral also lists the same sequence under 3 other names. The record is from RNAcentral.
GUCGCCAUCAUCUAACGGUUUAGGAUACCUGGUUCUCAUCCAGGAAAUUGGGAGUUCAAAUCUCCCUGGCGACA